ACCAGACUUGCCCUCCAAUUGAUACUCGUUAAGGGAUUUAAAUUUUUCUCAUUUGAAUUAUCCGACGAAAAUUCGCCAGAUAUUCAUAUUUUUUGUCACUACCUCCCUGUGUUAGGAUUGGGUAAUUUGCGCGCCUGCUGCCUUCCUUGGAUGUGGUAGCCAUUUCUCAGGCUCCCUCUCCGGAAUCGAACCCUAAUUCUCCGUUACCCGUCAUCACCACUGUAGUCCACUACACUACAGUCGAAAGUUGAUAGGGCAGAAAUUUAAAUGAAAUGUCGCCGACAUGAAGCCGUGCGAUCCGUAAAAGUUACUAUGAAUCACCAAAAUAUAAAGCAGUUGCCUGCCUAUUGGUUUUUUAUCUAAUAAAUACAUCCCUUCCAAUAAGAAUAUAGUCGGGAUUUGACGCAUGUAUUAGCUCUAGAAUUACUACGGGUAUCCAUGUAGUAAAAAUAAAAUCAAAUAAAUAAUAACUGAUAUAAUGAGCUGUACGCAGUUUCACUGUAUAAAGAUGUUUAUACUUAGACAUGCAUGGCUUAAUCUUUGAGACAAGCAUAUGACUACUGGCAGGAUCAACCAG
RNAcentral lists this ribosomal RNA (577 nucleotides) under uncultured eukaryote. RNAcentral describes it as "partial 18S ribosomal RNA". The record is from RNAcentral.